This 497-nucleotide ribosomal RNA is filed under the name uncultured bacterium. Its description in RNAcentral is "partial 16S ribosomal RNA". It matches the Rfam family "Bacterial small subunit ribosomal RNA", at positions 28 to 507 of the family's 1533-position model. The record is from RNAcentral.
GAUGAACGCUGGCGGCGUGCUUAAUACAUGCAAGUCGAGCGAACGGACCCGAAGCUUGCUUCUCUGAUGUUAGCCGCGGACGGGUGUGUAACACGUGGAUAACCUACCUAUAAGUCUGGGAUCACUUCGGGAAACCGGCGCUAAUCCCGGAUAAUAUUUUGCACCGUAUGGUUCAAUAGUGAAAGUCGGUCUUGCUGUCACUUCUCGCUGGAUCUGCGCUGCAUUAGCUAGUUGGUACGGUAACGGCGUAUCAAGGCAACGAUGCAUAGCCGACCGGAGGGGGUGAUCGGCCACACUGGAACUGAGACACGGUCCAGACUCCUACGGGAGGCAGCAGUAGGGAAUCUGCCGCAAUGGGCGAAAGCCUGACGGAGCAACGCCGCGUGAGUGAUGAAGGUCUUCGGAGCGUAAAGCUCUGUUAUUGGGUAAGAACAUAUGUGUAAGUAACUGUGCACAUCUUGACGGUAACUAGUCAGAAAGCCACGGCUAACUACGUG